Molecule: ribosomal RNA, 616 nt
Filed under: uncultured Alphaproteobacteria bacterium
Lineage: Bacteria; Pseudomonadati; Pseudomonadota; Alphaproteobacteria
Description: bacterial SSU rRNA
Rfam family: Bacterial small subunit ribosomal RNA
Source: RNAcentral
AGCGAACGCUGGCGGCAGGCCUAACACAUGCAAGUCGAGCGCACCUUCGGGUGAGCGGCGGACGGGUUAGUAACGCGUGGGAACAUACCCUUUUCUACGGAAUAGCCUCGGGAAACUGAGAGUAAUACCGUAUAAGCCCUUCGGGGGAAAGAUUUAUCGGGAAAGGAUUGGCCCGCGUUAGAUUAGAUAGUUGGUGGGGUAAUGGCCUACCAAGUCUACGAUCUAUAGCUGGUUUUAGAGGAUGAUCAGCAACACUGGGACUGAGACACGGCCCAGACUCCUACGGGAGGCAGCAGUGGGGAAUCUUAGACAAUGGGCGCAAGCCUGAUCUAGCCAUGCCGCGUGUGUGAUGAAGGUCUUAGGAUCGUAAAGCACUUUCGCCAGGGAUGAUAAUGACAGUACCUGGUAAAGAAACCCCGGCUAACUCCGUGCCAGCAGCCGCGGUAAUACGGAGGGGGUUAGCGUUGUUCGGAAUUACUGGGCGUAAAGCGUACGUAGGCGGAUUGGAAAGUUGGGGGUGAAAUCCCAGGGCUCAACCCUGGAACUGCCUCCAAAACUAUCAGUCUAGAGUUCGAGAGAGGUGAGUGGAAUUCCAAGUGUAGAGGUGAAAUUCAUA